GACGAACGCUGGCGGCGUGCUUAACACAUGCAAGUCGAACGGAAAGGCCCCUUCGGGGGUCCUCGAGUGGCGAACGGGUGAGUAACACGUGAGUAACCUGCCCUUGACUUCGGGAUAACUUCAGGAAACUGGGGCUAAUACCGGAUAGGAAUCCUUGCUGCAUGGUGGGGGUUGGAAAGCUUCGGCGGUUUUGGAUGGACUGGCGGCUUAUCAGCUUGAUGGUGGGGUAGUGGCUUACCAAGGCUUUGACGGGUAGCCGGCCUGAGAGGGCGACCGGCCACAUUGGGACUGAGAUACGGCCCAGACUCCUACGGGAGGCAGCAGUGGGGAAUAUUGCACAAUGGGCGGAAGCCUGAUGCAGCAACGCCGCGUGCGGGAUGACGGGCUUCGGGUUGUAAACCGCUUUCAGCAGGGGCGAAGCUUGUGGUGACGGUACCUGCAGAAGAAGCACCGGCUAACUACGUG
Molecule: ribosomal RNA, 465 nt
Filed under: uncultured bacterium
Lineage: Bacteria
Description: partial 16S ribosomal RNA
Rfam family: Bacterial small subunit ribosomal RNA
Source: RNAcentral